AAAUGAACACUCUGGGGAUCUUGUUAAUAUGCUGAUUCUAAUUCAGUCAGUCUUAAGAUGGGACUGGAAGGGCCUGAGAUUCUGCAUUUCUCCAAGUUCCCUAAGUGAUGCU
RNAcentral lists this microRNA precursor (112 nucleotides) under Marmota monax (woodchuck). Lineage: Eukaryota; Metazoa; Chordata; Mammalia; Rodentia; Sciuridae. The record is from RNAcentral.